GUGAGGGCGCAGGAUCUAGCCCCCGCGCAGUGCAGCCCCCAGCCAACUUGCAUUGGGGGCUGGAAGGCCAGCCGCUUCGAAUAGAGGAACUAGAGGGGGUGAACAAAAUCUCCAUUGGCCUUAAGACUUCCUCCUGGGGUAACCACCCGCCUAUGUUUAAAGAGCACUUCCUCUUUGCCCUUUAUCUUUUCAUCAUCUUUUUUUUUUUUUUAAUGGAAGUUCAGUGCAAUCGGGUGGAUGCUCUUGCAGCCUGCAGGGCUUUCCUGGGGCUGUGUUCACACACAGUGGGUAGCGAACCUGUGUGUCCUGUCCUAAGGGUGGGAGGAAAGAGGAACCGGGGACUUCCCUGGUUGGAGCCCGGUGCGGGCGGAGGGGGGUGGCGGCUUUGAUCCCCACCCUGCUGCAAGAAAUGGAGCCGAUGGGGGAGGAGUUGAGCGGGAAGGAGGCCCCGCUGGGGAGUAUCACGUGGACUUUGCACCUAUGCUUAAUUCCUGGCCCUGCCACCUUACUAGCUGUGUGACCUUGGACGAAUCGCUUACCCUCUCUGAGUCUUAGAUGGCUGUCUGUAAAAUGGGUGCUUUGAGUAGGGCCUAGAGAAAGUGAGUGUGGACUUCCUGGCCUGGAGGGGGCGCAGUAAUGGGAAGUGUCAUUGUCAAUCGCCUCCCCUUUAAUUUCUGCAUCCUCACCGCCUAGAAGGGGUCCCUGGGCACCUGGGAGGCUGUGGGUAGAUAUCUGUGAAAUGAAGAGCUGGAUCUUGAAUUUUGAGAAGUGAGUGGGGGUGGGUCUACAUUUUGGCUUCCUUGCCCAGGACCAUCCAUCCCACAAUCGGGGGAGAGCCACAUUUUGCCACCUGGGAUCUGUGUAAUCCAUCCCCUCCCCAGAGGAGGAUUAUCUUGAGAAAAUAUUGAUUCCUUGUGAAAAGGAGCUUAAACUCUGACUUUGAGCCUCUCCUAUUCUUGAAAGAUUGCAUUCUGUGGAAAUGAAAAGGAAGCAUCAUUUUGAUUGCCACUGCCAGAUGACUGUCCGCGGAGGGUUGCCAGGGCUAACAGCUGGGCUGUUUUCCCAGACUUGGGGGUUCCUGGUAAACAUGGAGGGAACCGGGGAGAGGUGAUUUUCUUCCUUGGUAGGGCAUGCAGGAGUGGUCAGCUGGCCUGAGUUUUCUUCCUGGGGAGGCGUGUUGGAAUUUGCAUUUUCCAGAUCUUGCCAGACUUUUGGCAUGGGGAGGAGCAGUGUGUGUGCUGAAGGAGACCAGGGUGGGUUAAGGCACAGGGGGACUUGGAAAUGGCCUUCAGAUAAAGGCAUGGUAUGGGUUUCUGCACUUCACUUUGGGAGAUUUUCAGGUAAUUUUGCUUUCUCUGACAGCCGGCCCUUCUUUCUCAGCUCCCAAAGGUUUCUGUGCACCUCUCUUUGGAUCUUAGCUGUGACAUUCUUCACAUCGGAGGGCAGGAGGUGACCCCGGGUGCUGCUUCUAUUCUAAGAGGCAGCCUCCUGACGUUUGACAUGUGCAGAUUCAUUUUUAAGAUGUGGAGUGGUCACGGUUACCGUCAAGGAGAGGUUUUAUUCUUAUUUUGCAGGACUUAGCGAGGGUGCAGGACUUGGCCCCACACCCUCAGCCAGGAAGCGGCUGAUUCAGGAUCCUUGCCCAUCUUCCAUCCACAGCGCGCUCCCCCUUUUUUCUGUGAGCUCUGCUCCCUUCUGAAUGGCCUUUGUGUUUCCCCUGGCACCUGGCAGGCUGUCUGGUAUGUGCUUGGAUACACGGUACACGUUUUGUGGCAGCUGAACCAAAGAGAGAUGGUCCCCCCUUUGCUCUUUACGAAGGUACGUUCGGGCUCCACCUCAAGGUCAGGGCACUGGCCUGUAGGUGACCUUGAAAUUGUUCUUUGACAGUUCCUCCCAAGUGCAUUUUGAUCCCUCAUUCUGGAAUCCCAGCCUCUGACAGCUCUUACUUCAGGAUCCAGACACCGUGACAGGAAGGACUCUUGAGAGACGCCAGUGUCACGCGGCCUCAAUUUGAGCAUUACUGUCACCUCCUUGUUUGAGGAGACCCUGGUCCCGUGGCUCCGGCAGCCUGGGACUUGGCCGUCUUCAGGGAAACCGUCUUCCAGGGAGCGCUGUGGCGGCAGUGUCGUGUCAGUGACAAAUCAGAUUUCAGAUGGGUCCACGUUAGCUCUGCGCUGGUCAGGCAGCCUUCGGCAGGUCGCUGCACGCCUGGGACCCCCUUUUCCUCAUCCGCGAACAGGCAAAAUCAUCUCUGCUCCAGCCGGUCCGCAUCACAGGUUCCUGAGUAAGAGGGCAAGACCCAGGUCCACAUGCUCACUUUUGCCUCUUCUGCCCAUCGGCAGGUCAGCAAGCGUCAGAGCCUCAGUGUUCUCAUUUGUAAAAUGGGACCGUGCAGCGUGGGGUUGUUCUGCUCACGCAGCAGUGUGAUGCCCGUAGCCGAGACCCCUGCUAAAUGGCGAUCACCAUCUGUUUCCUCAGCUGGAGCUUCUCGAAGUCUAGACUCAUGUCUCUGUUUUCACUGGACUUGGAGUUUCUCCAGAGAAGUACACUGAGACUUACUAGCUGCCAUCUGCUCCGAGGGAAGGAGACAUCAUGUUCGUAAAUAUAUAAAUAAUCGAAGUCAACGAGAUUUGUUUAAAGAAGUGUGACUGAGAGUGAUUUUAAUAAAUAUUUAAGAUGAUCUGAAACCAUUAGAGGAAUUGCAGGGUUUAUUAAAAAACCGGAAACGUGU
Molecule: long non-coding RNA, 2731 nt
Organism: Ailuropoda melanoleuca (giant panda)
Lineage: Eukaryota; Metazoa; Chordata; Mammalia; Carnivora; Ursidae
Exons: 2
Source: RefSeq, a predicted model, not a curated record